Molecule: long non-coding RNA, 1525 nt
Filed under: Calidris pygmaea (Spoon-billed sandpiper)
Lineage: Eukaryota; Metazoa; Chordata; Aves; Charadriiformes; Scolopacidae
Description: lncRNA (ENSCPGG00000005757.1)
Source: RNAcentral
ACGUCUACGCCGAGCUCCGCUUCACCCUGCUGGCCUGCGACAGCCUCCCCCGGCGGCAGCGACGCGCCCCCCAGCGCGGGGACGGCCCCCCCGACGCCCCCGGGGACACCCCCGGCCCCCGGGACGCUCUGGAAGAUGGUACCGGCAACUGGGAUGCCCUUAGCAACGGCCUUGGCAACGGCCCCGGACACUACGAUGCUCCUAGCAACCACCCUGGCAACCAGGAUGCCCUUAGCAACGGCCUUGGCAACCAACCUGGACACUACGAUGCUCCUAGCAGCCGCCCCGGCAACCAGGAUGCCCUUAGCAACGGCCUUGGCAACGACCCCAGCAACUGGGAUGCCCUUAGUAAUGGCCUUAGCAACAACCCCAGACACUACGAUGCUCCUAGCAACCGCCCCAGCAACAGGGAUGCUCUUAGCAACGGCCUUAGCAACCAUCUCAGCAACCAUGAUACCCUUAGCAACGGUCCUGGCAACCAUAAUGCUCCUAGCAACGGCCUUGGCAACGGCUCUGGUAACCACGAUACCCUUAGCAACGGUCUUGUCACCCUCAAUUCCCUUAGCAACGGCCUUGGCAACCACCUUAGAAACCACGAUGCUCCUAGCAACGGCCUUGGAAACGGCCCUGGCAACCGUGAUACGCUUAGCGAUGGCCCUGGCAACCAUGAUGCUCCUAGCAACGGCCUUGGAAAUCGCCCUGGCAACCAUGAUGCUCCUAGCAACGGCCUUGGAAAUCACCCUGGCAACCAUGAUGCUCUUAGCAAUGGUCUUGGAAACGGCCCUGGCAACCAGGAUACCCUUAGCAACGGCCCUGGCAACCACGAUGCUCUUAGCAACAGUCCUGGCAACCCCAAUUCCCUUAGCAACGGCCUUGGCAACCACCUCAGAAACCACGAUGCUCCUAGCAACGGCCCUGGAAACAGCCCUAGCAACUGUGAUACGCUUAGCAACGGCCCUGGAAACAGCCCUAGCAACCGUGAUACGCUUAGCAACGGCCCUGGCAACGCCGAUACCCUUAGCAACGGCCCUGGCAACCAUGAUGCUCCUAGCAACGGCCUUGGAAAUCACCCUGGCAACCACGAUGCUCCUAGCAACGGCCUUGGAAACGGCCCUGGCAACCCCGAUACCCACGUCGCCGGCCCCCCCCGCCCCCGCCGCAGCCCCUUCCCCCCCCGCCCUUGCAAAGAAACCUUCAACGUCUUCUACCACGAGGCCGACGCCGACACGGCCACCGCCCUGACCCCCCCCUGGAUGGAGAACCCCUACAUCAAGGUGGACACGGUGGCGGCCGAGCACCUCUCGCGCCGGGGGGGGGGUGUCAGCGGGACGGGGGGCCGCCCCUCGGGCCGCGUCAACCGCAAGACCCUCCGCCUGGGCCCCCUCAGCCGGGAGGGGUUUUACUUGGCUUUCCAGGACCUGGGGGCCUGCAUGGCCCUCCUCUCCGUCCGCCUCUACUUCCAGCGCUGCCCCGAGGUCACCGCCCGCCUGGCCCGCUUCCCGGCCACCGUCCCCCGAGAGCUGGU